UGAGUGAAGAAGGCCUUUGGGUUGUAAAGCUCUUUUGUAGGGGAAGAUAAUGACUGUACCCUAAGAAUAAGGUCCGGCUAACUUCGUGCCAGCAGCCGCGGUAAUACGAAGGGACCUAGCGUAGUUCGGAAUUACUGGGCGUAAAGCGCGCGUAGGCCGUUGAGUUAGUUAAUUGUGAAAUCCCAAAGCUUAACUUUGGAACUGCAAUUAAAACUGCUCGACUAGAGUUUGAUAGAGGAAAGCGGAAUACAUAGUGUAGAGGUGAAAUUCGUAGAUAUUAUGUAGAACACCAGUUGCGAAGGCGGCUUUCUGGGUCAACACUGACGCUGAGGCGCGAAAGUAUGGGUAGCAAAGAGGAUUAGAUACCCUCGUAGUCCAUACCAUAAACGAUGAUUGCUAGAUGUUGGAAAUUUAUUUUCAGUAUCGCGGCUAACGCAUUAAGCAAUCCGCCUGGGGAGUACGACCGCAAGGUUAAAACUCAAAUGAAUUGACGGGGACCCGCACAAGCGGUGGAGCAUGUGGUUUAAUUCGAAGAUACGCGCAGAAACUUUACAAGCCUUGACAUGUC
Molecule: ribosomal RNA, 568 nt
Filed under: uncultured bacterium
Lineage: Bacteria
Description: bacterial SSU rRNA
Rfam family: Bacterial small subunit ribosomal RNA
Source: RNAcentral